This 253-nucleotide ribosomal RNA is filed under the name uncultured bacterium. RNAcentral describes it as "partial 16S ribosomal RNA". It matches the Rfam family "Bacterial small subunit ribosomal RNA", at positions 524 to 776 of the family's 1533-position model. The record is from RNAcentral.
UACGGGGGGGGUAAGCGUUGUUCGGAUUUACUGGGCGUAAAGGGCGCGUAGGCGGCAAUUCAAGUCAGCUGUGAAAUCUCCGGGCUUAACUCGGAACGGUCAGCUGAUACUGCUUUGCUAGAGUGCAGAAGGGGCAAUCGGAAUUCUUGGUGUAGCGGUGAAAUGCGUAGAUAUCAAGAGGAACACCUGAGGUGAAGACGGGUUGCUGGGCUGACACUGACGCUGAGGCGCGAAAGCUAGGGUAGCAAACGGG